Molecule: long non-coding RNA, 1658 nt
Organism: Gallus gallus (chicken)
Lineage: Eukaryota; Metazoa; Chordata; Aves; Galliformes; Phasianidae
Source: Ensembl
GAGGGGGAUAUAGAGGGAGAGAUGGAGAUAUAGAGAGAUAGAGGGAGAGAGAGAGAGAGGGAGAGAUGGAGAGAGAUAUAGAGGGAGAUAUAGAGAUAGUGGGAGAUAGAGAUAGAGAGAGAUAUAGGGAGAUAAUAGAGGGAUAUAGAGGGGAUAUAGAGAGAUGGAGGGAGAGAGAGAGAUAUAGGGGGAGAUAUAGAGGGAGAUAGAGAUAUAGGGAUAGAGGGAGAGAUGGAGGGGGAUAUAGAAGGAGAGAGAGAUGGAGAGAUGAAGGGAUAUAGAGAGGGAGAUACAGAGGGAGAGAGAGAGAGGGAAAUAGAGAGGGAAAUAGAGAGAUAGAGGGAGAUACAGAGGGAGAUAUAGAGUGAUAGAGAGGGAGAUAGAGGGAUAGAGGGAUACAGAGGGAGAUACAGAGGUAGAGGGAGAGAUAGAGAGAGAGAUAGGGAGGGAGGGGGAUAUAGAGGGGGAUAUAGAGAUAGAGGGAGAGAUAGAGAGAUAUAGGGAGAUAUUAGGGAGAUAGAGAGAUAAGAGGGAGAGAGAGAGGGGGAUAGAGAGAUAGAAGGAGAUACGGAGAUAGAGGGAGAGAGAUGGAGGGAGAGAUAUAGAGAUGGAGAGAUAGAGAGAUAGAGAGAGAUACAUAGAGAGAGAUAGAGGGAAAUAGAGAGAUAGGGAGAGGGAGAUAUAGAGAUAGGGGGAGAUAGAGGGAGAUAUAGAGGGGGAUAUAGGGAGAGAUGGAGAGAGAGAGACGGGGAGAUAGGGAGAUAUAGGGGGAGAUAUAGGGGGAGAGAUAGGGGGAGAGAUAGGGGGAGAUAUAGAGAGAGAUAUGGAGAGAUAUGGAGGGAGAUAUAGAGAUAGAGGGAGAGAGAGAUGGAGAUACAGAGAGAGAUAGGGAGGGAGGGAGAGAUGGAGGGAUGGAGAUGGAGGGAUGGAGAUGAUGGAGAUAGAGGGAUAGAGAGAUGGAGGUGGAGAUAUAGGGAUGGAGAUAUAGAGAUGGAGAGAUAGAGAUGGAGAGAUAGAGAUGAUGGAGAUAGAGAUGAUGGAGAGAUAGAGAUGGAGAGAUAUAGAGAUGGAGAGAUAUAGAGAUGGAGAGAUAGAGAUGGAGAGAUAGAGAUGGAGAGAUAGAGAUGGAGAGAUAUAGAGAUGGAGAGAUAUAGAGAUGGAGAGAUAUAGAGAUGGAGAGAUAGAGAUGAUGGAGAUAGACAGAGAGAUGGAGAGAUGGAGGUGGAGAUAUAGAGAUGGAGGGAUGGGGAUGGAGAUAUAGAGAUGGAGAUGGAGAUAUAGAGAUGGAGAUGGAGAUGGACAGAGAGAUAUAGAGAUGGAGAGAUGGAGGUGGAGAUAUAGAGAUGGAGAUAUAGAGAUGGAGAUAUAGGGAUGGAGAUAUAGGGAUGGAGAUGGAGAUACAGAGCGAUACGGAUAUAAAGGGAGAUACAGAGGGAGAUAUAGAGAUGGAGGGAGAGAGAGAUAUAGAGGGAGGGAGAUACGGAGGGGGAUAUAGAGGGAGAUAUAGAGAUGGAGGGAGAGAUAGAGAGAGAGAUAGAGAUAGGGGGAGAUAUAGAGAGGGAGAGACGGAGGGAGAGAUAGGGAGAGAGAUAUAGAGAUAUAGAGGGAGAUAUAGAGACGGAGAGAUGGAGAUAGGGGGAGAUAUAGGGGGAGAUAGA